GAUUUGACGUGGAAUAUACAGUUGAUGCCGUCGGUUUUUAAAGUUUUUACAUCUGAAUGUCUUAUUUAUAGUAUAGAGGCCUGAUGAAGCAAACGAGAGUUUGCGAAACGUUGCUGAAUAUACUUUAAGAUCUUU
Coccinella septempunctata (seven-spotted ladybird) is the source of this 135-nucleotide long non-coding RNA. RefSeq lists it as uncharacterized. The record is from RefSeq and is a predicted model, not a curated record. The transcript is spliced from 2 exons. Lineage: Eukaryota; Metazoa; Arthropoda; Insecta; Coleoptera; Coccinellidae.